GAGUUUGAGGCUCGCUCAGAUUGAACGCUGGCGGCAUGCUUUACACAUGCAAGUCGAACGGCAGCGGGGGCUUCGGCCUGCCGGCGAGUGGCGAAAGGUUGAGUAACACAUCGGAACGUGUCCUUAAGUGGGGAAUAACGCAUCGAAAGAUGUGCUAAUACCGCAUAUCUCUGAGGAGAAAAGCAGGGGAUCGCAAGACCUUGCGCUAAAGGAGCGGCCGAUGUCUGAUUAGCUAGUUGGUGGGGUAAAGGCUUACCAAGGCGACGACGGGUAGCCGGCCUGAGAGGGUGACCGGCCACACUGGGACUGAGAUACGGCCCAGACUCCUACGGGAGGCAGCAGGGGGGAAUAUUGCACAAUGGGCGAAAGCCUGAUGCAGCGACGCCGCGUGAGGGAUGACGGCCUUCGGGUUGUAAACCUCUUUUAGUCGGAAAGAAAGAGUUGCAAUGAAUAAUUGUGAUUUAUGACGGUACCUGCAGAAGAAGCGCCGGCUAACUACGUGCCAGCAGCCGCGGUAAUACGUAGGGCGCAAGCGUUGUCCGGAAUUACUGGGCGUAAAGGGUGCGCAGGCGGUCUUGCAAGUCAGAUGUGAAAGCCCCGGGCUUAACCUGGGAAUUGCGUUUGAAACUACAAGGCUAGAGUGCAGCAGAGGGGAGUGGAAUUCCAUGUGUAGCAGUGAAAUGCGUAGAGAUGUGGAAGAACACCGAUGGCGAAGGCAGCUCCCUGGGUUGACACUGACGCUCAUGCACGAAAGCAUGGGGAGCGAACAGGAUUAGAUACCCUGGUAGUCCACGCCCUAAACGAUGUCAACUAGUUGUCGGAUCUAAUUAAGGAUUUGGUAACGUAGC
Molecule: ribosomal RNA, 848 nt
Filed under: uncultured bacterium
Lineage: Bacteria
Description: bacterial SSU rRNA
Rfam family: Bacterial small subunit ribosomal RNA
Source: RNAcentral